ACCUGGUUGAUCCUGCCAGAGGCUACCGCUAUUGGAGUUCGAUUAAGCCAUGCGAGUCUAGAGGCCUAGCCUCGGCGUACCGCUCAGUAACACGUGGGUAACCUACCCUAUGCUGGGGAAUAAGCUCGGGAAACUGAGAAUAAUACCCCAUAGUCCACUACGCCUGGAACGGUGAGUGGAUGAAAGCUCCGGCGGCAUAGGAUGGGCCUGCGGCGUAUCAGGUUGUAGGGGGUGUAACGUACCCUCUAGCCAUCCACGCGUACGGGUGUUGGGAGACAUUGCCCGGAGAUGGAUUCUGAGACACGAAUCCAGACCCUACGGGGUGCAGCAGGCGCGAAAACUUGGCAAUGCGAGAAAUCGUGACCAGGGAACUCCAAGUGGCAGGGGUAAGACCCUGUCUUUUUUCGACUCUAAAUAGGUCGACGAAUAAGGGGUGGGUAAGGACGGUGCCAGCCGCCGCGGUAAUACCGGCGCCUCAAGUGGUAGUCGCUUUUAUUGGGCCUAAAACGUCCGUAGCCGGUCUGGUACAUUCGUGGGUAAAUCA
This 544-nucleotide ribosomal RNA is filed under the name uncultured Candidatus Poseidoniales archaeon. RNAcentral's name for it is "bacterial SSU rRNA". It matches the Rfam family "Archaeal small subunit ribosomal RNA", at positions 1 to 552 of the family's 1478-position model. Lineage: Archaea; Methanobacteriati; Thermoplasmatota; Candidatus Poseidoniia; Candidatus Poseidoniales. The record is from RNAcentral.